UACCCGCAGCACAAGUGGUGGUCAUUAUUAUUGGGCCUAAAGCGUCCGUAGCUAGCCUGUUAGAUGCCUGGGUAAAUCGAUGCGCUUAACGCAUCGAAUUCCGGGUAGACCGGCAGGCUCGAGACCGGGAGAGGUGUAGGGUACUCGGGGGGUAGGGGUAAAAUCCUGUAAUCCUCCGGGGACGACCAGUGGCGAAGGCGCUACACUAGAACGGCUCUGACAGUGAGGGACGAAGCCCUGGGGCGCAAACCGG
This 253-nucleotide ribosomal RNA is filed under the name uncultured bacterium. RNAcentral's name for it is "partial 16S ribosomal RNA". It matches the Rfam family "Archaeal small subunit ribosomal RNA", at positions 474 to 727 of the family's 1478-position model. The record is from RNAcentral.